Molecule: transfer RNA, 73 nt
Filed under: Candidatus Eiseniibacteriota bacterium
Lineage: Bacteria; Candidatus Eiseniibacteriota
Also listed under: 2 other names
Description: tRNA-Thr
Rfam family: tRNA
About the family: Transfer RNA (tRNA) molecules are approximately 80 nucleotides in length.
Source: RNAcentral
GCUGGCGUAGCUCAAUUGGUAGAGCAUCUCAUUUGUAAUGAGGCGGUUGGGGGUUCGAGUCCCUUCGCCAGCU